GUGAGCAAGAGCUCCCAAGUCCUGCUGGGUAGACUGAUGGGCAGGCCAGUAAUGACAGCAAGAAGGAUGGCAGCUAGGGUGGUCCUUUGGGACCUCGAUGGGAGGAGCUCUAAGGGUGAGCUCUUAUGGGAGGAAGGAGUAGGGCACAAAGUAUACCCCUCCGAGCCACACCCACAGUGACCUGUUUCAUCCAGUUAGGCCCCACCUCCUAACAAACCCAUUCAACUCAUUAAUUCAUUAGUGGAUUGAUCCACUUGAUGAUGAUCCAGACCCUUUUAAAAGCCCAUCAGCUGGCAGCCAAGGCUUCAACACAGUGAACCAUCACAUUAGCCUUUAGUGGCUCCUGUAAAAGUAAAACCUCCAGAGUAUCACUUGGGCAAUAAGAGUCUCCCAGUUGUCUGCCCUCCCUGCCUGGCUGUCUGCAGCAGCAUGCUGUAAUGCAGAAUGGGUGGAUCUGGGCAUGAGAAUCUCCUUCUGCCAGUAUCUCAAUCAAAGAUCAGCUCAACCCAAUUUUCUUGAUUUGAAAAAUAAAGUGAUAAAUAUUUUUCCAGGAUUUCUACCCAAGUUGACUUUUUUUGAUUCCCUGUGGCAGAGAGGUUCUUUGGGGAUUUUGCCACUAUCAGAGUCCUGUGCUUCACUGGGCUGUUUUCCUGUACUCGACCCAUUCCACAGGCCACUGGCACCCCCCGCCUCUUCCAGGGCCGCCACUCUCUGGUGUGUGCACCUGCAUUCGAAAGUGAUCAUGGGCUGCCUGUGCCCUGGUCAUCAACAAAGCAGGGAGAGGAACCGCUGAAAGCCGCUUCCCGUGUUUGCAGGGUCCAGCCUGUCCCUUGCAAAUGCUGGCGCUUUCGCACACUUCUUUCCUGCCAACACAUUCCAGUUUCAAGAGCCUUAAGGGCUGCUGUGUAAGGGGAUGCUGCGCUGGAACUGGAGAUUGCUGAAGGAAGGCCCUGGAAUAGAGGCACUGACCCUGUCAGGAUGAUGAAUGGGGUUCCUGCUCUGAAGGGAUCUCCUCAUGUUGGUUGUGGUGUUGAUUGUGGACACUGGCAUAGCAGAGUGAAGAGUGUCAUUGUCACACGACGCAUUCCAGACCUUAGUGCAGUGGCCUCAGCACAACACAGAGCACCUUUUUACUCUGCAUGAGCAAGCGGAGGGGAAGGCCUGGACUCUGAGGACUUGGGGUCCAGAGGUGGAGACCUUCCAGCUGGUUCUACCCCAUCCCAGCAGAGCCACAGAGCAUCAUAGACGGGAAGACCAGUCUUCCUUCAACUGGCCACCUCCCAGUCUUGCCUACUCCUGGUGUAACUUGUAGACCCAAGAGAUCCUGGUGAAGUUUUCUAUACCCUGCACAACCUCAAUAAAUUGUCCACCUCAAUAAAUUUUGAAACAUGCUGUGCUGUGUAUUUUUUGGGUUUUGUUUGUUUACCAAAAUACCCAUGUGUACCAGCUAGGCUGGGUAUAGAGAAGGUAGUCACAGGGUGAAUCUUCCAGUUUUCACUUACUGAGAAUUCCCACUUAGCAUGCUCCUAAGUGGGAUGUGACCUAGGGAAUUUGAGGUAGGAGGUAGGAUUUGGACUAGAGGUUGAACAAUGCCACAUGCAUCUGGGGGCUCAGGCUUAGGAGAGAAAGAGAACUGUUAAAACUAAGUUGCCUGAGCAACAUUUGGGCCAGGGAUUUGGAAGAGAAGAUGAUAAUGGGUGGAUGAAGAGAUGGAGAUGGUCUGAAGUCCUCAAGAAAGACAGGAGUGUUCUGAGGCUUGAUGGCAAAAGUAUACCAUGCUCUGGAGUGAAUUUAGGAAAACGGUUUUGAGCAAAGGUAGGAGUGGGGUGUAUGAGGAUCAGCUGCCCUUGGAGAACUCUGAGGGUCUAGUAGGCGGUGCCAGGGCCUGGGGUUUCUGUUACCCCAGGUGUAUUUGGUCUUUGGCUGGUAUGUUCAUUAGCAAUGAUGGCAAGGAUGUGCCCAGCAUGCCUGUGUAUUUCUUUUUUUUUUUUUUUUUGGUACCGGGGAUCAAACUCAGGUCCUUGAGCUUCCGAGGCAGGCAACAGAACCACUGAGCUGAAUCCCUGGCCCAUGCA
This 2075-nucleotide long non-coding RNA is filed under the name Heterocephalus glaber (naked mole-rat). RNAcentral's name for it is "lncRNA (ENSHGLG00000046153.1)". The stretch from base 723 to 855 matches the Rfam family "Small nucleolar RNA SNORA71". Lineage: Eukaryota; Metazoa; Chordata; Mammalia; Rodentia; Bathyergidae. The record is from RNAcentral.